GUGGGGAAUAUUGGACAAUGGGCGAAAGCCUGAUCCAGCCAUGCCGCGUGUGUGAAGAAGGUCUUCGGAUUGUAAAGCACUUUAAGUUGGGAGGAAGGGCAGUAAGUUAAUACCUUGCUGUUUUGACGUUACCGACAGAAUAAGCACCGGCUAACUUCGUGCCAGCAGCCGCGGUAAUACGAAGGGUGCAAGCGUUAAUCGGAAUUACUGGGCGUAAAGCGCGCGUAGGUGGUUUUGUAAGUUGGAGGUGAAAUACCCGGGCUCAACCUGGGAACUGCCUCCAAAACUGCAUGACUAGAGUACGGUAGAGGGUAGUGGAAUUUCCUGUGUAGCGGUGAAAUGCGUAGAUAUAGGAAGGAACACCAGUGGCGAAGGCGACUACCUGGACUGAUACUGACACUGAGGUGCGAAAGCGUGGGGAGCAAACAGGAUUAGAAACCCCUGUAGUCC
RNAcentral lists this ribosomal RNA (450 nucleotides) under uncultured bacterium. Its description in RNAcentral is "partial 16S ribosomal RNA". It matches the Rfam family "Bacterial small subunit ribosomal RNA", at positions 354 to 796 of the family's 1533-position model. The record is from RNAcentral.